RNAcentral lists this ribosomal RNA (468 nucleotides) under uncultured bacterium. RNAcentral's name for it is "partial 16S ribosomal RNA". It matches the Rfam family "Bacterial small subunit ribosomal RNA", at positions 28 to 507 of the family's 1533-position model. The record is from RNAcentral.
GACGAACGCUGGCGGCGUGCUUAACACAUGCAAGUCGAACGGAAAGGCCCUGCUUUUGUGGGGUGCUCGAGUGGCGAACGGGUGAGUAACACGUGAGUAACCUGCCCUUGACUUGGGGAUAACUUCAGGAAACUGGGGCUAAUACCGGAUAGGAGCUCCUGCUGCAUGGUGGGGGUUGGAAAGUUUCGGCGGUUGGGGAUGGACUCGCGGCUUAUCAGCUUGUUGGUGGGGUAGUGGCUUACCAAGGCUUUGACGGGUAGCCGGCCUGAGAGGGUGACCGGCCACAUUGGGACUGAGAUACGGACCAGACUCCUACGGGAGGCAGCAGUGGGGAAUAUUGCACAGUGGGCGGAAGCGUGAUGCAGCAACGCCGCGUGCGGGAUGACGGCCUUCGGGUUGUAAACCGCUUUCGCCUGUGACGAAGCGUGAGUGACGGUAAUGGGUAAAGAAGCACCGGCUAACUACGUG